Molecule: small nuclear RNA, 106 nt
Filed under: Procavia capensis (Cape rock hyrax)
Lineage: Eukaryota; Metazoa; Chordata; Mammalia; Hyracoidea; Procaviidae
Source: RNAcentral
GUGCUUGCUUAAGCAGCCUGUGUACUCAGAUUGGAACAAUAUAGAAAGGCUAGCAUGACACCUGUGCAAAGAUGGUAUGCAAAUUCUUCUAUGCUUCAAAUUUUAU